UGGUGGAUAUCUCGGCUUGGAAACCGAUGAAGAGCGUGACAAGCUGCGAUAAGCUCAGGGUAGUCGCAGGUAGACUUUGAUCCUGAGAUUCUCGAAUGGGACAUCCUUUCAUGGCCUAAUAAUCCAUGAAAACUCCGUUAGGGGUGGGGAACCCACCGAAGUAAAACAUUUUAGUAGGUGGAGGAAAAGAAAACAAUAGUGAUUCCGUAAGUAACGGCGAGCGAAAGCGGAAAUGAUCAAACCGAAUCCCCAAGGGAAACGUUGGGGAGAUGUGGAGUACGGGUCCAGCACGACCUCGGUAAUGAAGGUGAAUACUUCUGGAAUGAAGAGCUAUAGAGCGUGAUAGCCGCGUAACUGUAAAUUACAAGGUUGAUACUGGAUACCCAGAGUAGUGCGGGAUGGUUUUCUCGUAUGAAUAUGCCAGACACAAACUGGCAAAUCUAAAUAUUCUCCAAGACCGAUAGCGAAUUAGUAGCGUGAGCAAACGAUGAAAAGUAACCCGGAAGGGUAGUGAAAAGUGCUUGAAACCAAAUAGUUUGUUAAGGAUGCGGCUCGAAAGGAUAGAUUCUAGUCGAAGAUAAGCUGGUAACAGUACAUUCGAGACUAGAGGACCAGAGUUGCAUCAUCCGUCUGGAAACAUGGGCCAGGGAGUUUAUAGUAGAAGCGAGCUUAAGGAGAUAACCUCUGUAGGCAUAGGGAAACCGA
This 705-nucleotide ribosomal RNA is filed under the name marine sediment metagenome. RNAcentral's name for it is "LSU rRNA". It matches the Rfam family "Archaeal large subunit ribosomal RNA", at positions 23 to 725 of the family's 2987-position model. The record is from RNAcentral.